Long non-coding RNA from Centruroides sculpturatus (bark scorpion), 362 nucleotides. RefSeq lists it as uncharacterized. Lineage: Eukaryota; Metazoa; Arthropoda; Arachnida; Scorpiones; Buthidae. The transcript is spliced from 4 exons. The record is from RefSeq and is a predicted model, not a curated record.
CAUUGUCGGCUUAACGAUCGGAAUGUUCCAUUUAGAGCAAUGUAGGAAUUUGUGAAGUAGUCAACUACGAUCGACUCGAUGAAAGAAACACUCGUUACAUUCUUAAAGACCGCGCCGAAGUGUAUCCGAAGAAGGAAGUUCUAGCAUCGGCUAUACUUGUGCAGCUAUUCCAUUGCUCGAACGACAUUGAAAGUUCAAGUAGAAGAAACCAGUUUAUCUUUGCCAUCCGUUUAAAAUUUAAAACAGUUCUUGAAUUUCUCAUCCAACACUAACUCGAAGGAAAUCCAGUUGAUAGGAAGAAAACAACGAAUUUUUAAGCUUUCAGUUAUAUAUAAAAAACAGUGAAAAAAGGAGUGAAAGAG